RNAcentral lists this ribosomal RNA (2069 nucleotides) under Andixius venustus. RNAcentral describes it as "Brixia venusta partial large subunit ribosomal RNA". It matches the Rfam family "Eukaryotic large subunit ribosomal RNA", at positions 1285 to 2806 of the family's 3401-position model. Lineage: Eukaryota; Metazoa; Arthropoda; Insecta; Hemiptera; Cixiidae. The record is from RNAcentral.
ACACUCACCUGCCGAAGCAACUAGCCCUGAAAAUGGAUGGCGCUCUAGCGUCGUGCCUAUACCGGGCCGUCAACGGCACAGUGGGCGUCUGCCUUCGGGCAAGAGCCGUUACGCCUUGACGAGUAGGAGGGUCGCGGCGGUGUGCGCAGAAGGGUCUGGGCGUGAGCCCGCCUGGAGCCGCCGUCGGCGCAGAUCUUGGUGGUAGUAGCAAAUACUCUAGCGAGGGCCUGGAGGACUGACGUGGAGAAGGGUUUCUUGUGAACAGCCGUUGCACAAGAGUCAGUCGACCCUAAGCACUAGGAGAAAUCCGAUGUUGAUGGGUGGCUAUACAAAACCACGUUCUGUUUGUUGCGAACGCUUCCGAUGCCCCCUCCGUUAUNGUGUUAGUACUCCUGACCCGCGGCCAACCGGCCAGGGCUGGAAAAAAGCAUCUUACGGUCGGCAGGGCAAGCGGAGCGCCAAUGAUUCACCUCGAGCGGCCGCACAGAGGUCUGGACACCCGUCACUGAAGUGAAAGGGGCCUUAUCUCUUGUGCAGCUCUCGUGGGGAGGAUGCAGCGUAACAACUGCUCCUGUCGUGCAAAAGGGAAUCCGGUUCCUAUUCCGGAACCCGGCUGCGUAACCGCCACUCUGCGGGCACUCGCCUGCGAGCGCUCGUCGGGGUAACCCAAACUGGCCCGGAGACGCCGGCGGGGGGUCUGGAAAGAGUUUUCUUUUCUUUAUAAGCGUUCGAGUACCCUGGAAUCCUAUAGCAGGGAGAUAGGGUUUGGAACGCGAAGAGCACCGCAGUUGCGGCGGUGUCCGGACUUCCCCCCCGGACCUUGAAAAUCCGGGUGAGGGCUACGCGGAAGUCGCGCCGGAUCGUACCCAUAUCCGCAGCAGGUCUCCAAGGUUAAGAGCCUCUAGUCGAUAGAAUAAUGUAGGUAAGGGAAGUCGCAAAUUGGAUCCGUAACUUCGGGACAAGGAUUGGCUCUGAGGAUCGGGGCGUGUCGGGCUUGGUCGGGAAGCGGGUCAGUGCCAACGUGCCGGGCCUGGGCGAGGGGAAGGGGCGGCUGGUUCGCUGGCCACCUCAUGAUCCGAGCUCGGUCCCGUGCCUUGGCCUCCCGCGGAUCUUCCUUGCUGCGGGGUGUCGGCUGUUCUAGUUGCGGCUGGGCUUCUGCUCGCCGUGGACGGGCCGAAUUUUCCCUUCGGCCGCCAUUCAACGAUCAACUCAGAACUGGCACGGACCGGGAGAAUCCGACUGUCUAAUUAAAGCAAAGCAUUGCGAUGGCUCUAGCUGAGUGUUUACGCAAUGUGAUUUCUGCCCAGUGCUCUGAAUGUCAACGUGAAGAAAUUCAAGCAAGCGCGGGUAAACGGCGGGAGUAACUAUGACUCUCUUAAGGUAGCCAAAUGCCUCGUCAUCUAAUUAGUGACGCGCAUGAAUGGAUUAACGAGAUUCUCACUGUCCCUAUCUACUAUCUAGCGAAACCACUGCCAAGGGAACGGGCUUGGAAAAAUUAGCGGGGAAAGAAGACCCUGUUGAGCUUGACUCUAGUCUGGCACUGUAAGGAGACAUGAGAGGUGUAGCAUAAGUGGGAGAUGGGCGGGCCUCAAAGCUUGUUCAUCGACGGUGAAAUACCACUACUUUCAUCGUUUCCUUACUUACUCGGAUAGGCGGAGAGCGUGUACGCCUAUGGUACAUACCGAGGCGUACCGGUAUUCUCGCGCCAAGCGUCCGAGGGUUGUCGGCACGCGUCUGGCAGGGCUUGGGUCCGCGCGGGAAAGCGGCUUGUUUACCGCAAGGUGGCUUGUCGCCGACCCCCGGCUCUUGUCUGGACUGGGCGCUGUUGACCGGCAAACACUCCCUCGCGUGAUCCGAUUCGAGGACACAGCCAGGCGGGGAGUUUGACUGGGGCGGUACAUCUGUCAAAUGAUAACGCAGGUGUCCUAAGGCCAGCUCAGCGAGGACAGAAACCUCGCGUAGAGCAAAAGGGCAAAUGCUGGUUUGAUCCCGAUGUCCAGUACGCAUAGGGACUGCGAAAGCACGGCCUGUCGAUCCUUUUGGCUUGAAGAGAUUUCAGCAAGAGGUGU